ACAUGCAAGUCGAGCGGGGUGAUGUAGCUUGCUACAUUACCUAGCGGCGGACGGGUGAGUAAUGCUUAGGAAUCUGCCUAUUAGUGGGGGACAACAUUCCGAAAGGAAUGCUAAUACCGCAUACGCCCUACGGGGGAAAGCAGGGGAUCUUCGGACCUUGCGCUAAUAGAUGAGCCUAAGUCAGAUUAGCUAGUUGGUGGGGUAAAGGCCUACCAAGGCGACGAUCUGUAGCGGGUCUGAGAGGAUGAUCCGCCACACUGGGACUGAGACACGGCCCAGACUCCUACGGGAGGCAGCAGUGGGGAAUAUUGGACAAUGGGCGAAAGCCUGAUCCAGCCAUGCCGCGUGUGUGAAGAAGGCCUUUUGGUUGUAAAGCACUUUAAGCGAGGAGGAGGCUACUUAGAUUAAUACUCUAGGAUAGUGGACGUUACUCGCAGAAUAAGCACCGGCUAACUCUGUGCCAGCAGCCGCGGUAAUACAGAGGGUGCGAGCGUUAAUCGGAUUUACUGGGCGUAAAGCGUGCGUAGGCGGCUUCUUAAGUCGGAUGUGAAAUCCCUGAGCUUAACUUAGGAAUUGCAUUCGAUACUGGGAAGCUAGAGUAUGGGAGAGGAUGGUAGAAUUCCAGGUGUAGCGGUGAAAUGCGUAGAGAUCUGGAGGAAUACCGAUGGCGAAGGCAGCCAUCUGGCCUAAUACUGACACUGAGGUACGAAAGCAUGGGGAGCAAACAGGAUUAGAUACCCUGGUAGUCCAUGCCGUAAACGAUGUCUACUAGCCGUUGGGGCCUUUGAGGCUUUAGUGGCGCAGCUAACGCGAUAAGUAGACCGCCUGGGGAGUACGGUCGCAAGACUAAAACUCAAAUGAAUUGACGGGGGCCCGCACAAGCGGUGGAGCA
Molecule: ribosomal RNA, 892 nt
Filed under: uncultured bacterium
Lineage: Bacteria
Description: bacterial SSU rRNA
Rfam family: Bacterial small subunit ribosomal RNA
Source: RNAcentral